RNAcentral lists this ribosomal RNA (220 nucleotides) under uncultured bacterium. RNAcentral describes it as "partial 16S ribosomal RNA". It matches the Rfam family "Bacterial small subunit ribosomal RNA", at positions 1281 to 1500 of the family's 1533-position model. The record is from RNAcentral.
AAACGUCUCAGUUCGGAUUGUAGUCUGCAACUCGACUACAUGAAGCUGGAAUCGCUAGUAAUCGCGAAUCAGAAUGUCGCGGUGAAUACGUUCCCGGGUCUUGUACACACCGCCCGUCACACCAUGGGAGUCAGCAACGCCCGAAGCCGGUGACCCAACCGAAAGGAGGGAGCCGUCGAAGGUGGGGCCGAUAACUGGGGUGAAGUCGUAACAAGGUAGC